UGGUUUUAUAAUCAUUAUCAAGAAGGCCCUGCCAUUGUACUGGUUGCAUCUCUGUUUUUGUACUUAGGGUCACUAAAGAAGCCAGAGUGGAGGCUGCAGGGAAUACGGAUUUAAAUGAAUUUUGGCUGUACCAUCAAGCAGUCUGAUCACUGAGGAAAUAUCAAAAGCUUCACCCGAGUGACUCAUCACCCAAAUUCGACAGAGACUUGCCAAAGAAGCUGCUUAUUUCACAGAAGGAUGGUGCUGGCUAAAAGAUGCUUCCUUGAAACUGAGAGACUGCUGCCUUAGACAGGUCUCCUUGAAGAGAUUUCAAACCUCACUGUGUCACUAUCUACUACCUUGGAGUCUGGAGAACACUGAAUGGAUGAAUGGAUGGAUGGACAGAAGGAUGAAAUAGAUGGAUUAAUGAACAUUAUCUGCUGACUGACAUUCAAAGUCCUUAGCAUAUAGUCUUAGGUUUUCAAAGAGAGUCUGAGCCUGCAGAGCAAAGAAAUGGAAAAUUUGAGAGCUUUUUAUAAUAAGAA
RNAcentral lists this long non-coding RNA (524 nucleotides) under Rhinopithecus bieti (black snub-nosed monkey). RNAcentral describes it as "lncRNA (ENSRBIG00000045442.1)". The record is from RNAcentral. Lineage: Eukaryota; Metazoa; Chordata; Mammalia; Primates; Cercopithecidae.